Molecule: RNase P RNA, 379 nt
Filed under: Acidobacteriota bacterium
Lineage: Bacteria; Pseudomonadati; Acidobacteriota
Description: Acidobacteria bacterium RNase P RNA component class A
Rfam family: Bacterial RNase P class A
About the family: Ribonuclease P (RNase P) is a ubiquitous endoribonuclease, found in archaea, bacteria and eukarya as well as chloroplasts and mitochondria. Its best characterised activity is the generation of mature 5'-ends of tRNAs by cleaving the 5'-leader elements of precursor-tRNAs.
Source: RNAcentral
CGGAGGGGGCGGGCAUCCGCCGUCCGCGUCAGCGGGGGGAGGAAAGUCCGGACUCCAGACAGGCAGCAUGCCGGGUAACGCCCGGCCGCGGUAACGCGAGGGAAAGUGCCGCAGAGAGUAGACCGCCUUCGAUAAGACCGGAGGUAAGGGUGAAAGGGUGCGGUAAGAGCGCACCGCUCUGCCGGUGACGGCAGGGGCAUGGUAAACCCCAUGCGGAGCAAGGCCAAAUAGGGGAAUCGAGGGUUGUCUGUUCCCGCACCUCAUCUGCGAUGAGGGAGGUUCCCGGGUAGGCCGCGUGAGCCGGCCGGUGACGGUCGGCCCAGAUGAAUGGACGUCGCCCUUCGGGGUACAGAAUCCGGCUUACAGCCUCCUCCGGCCC